CCUACGGGGCGCAGCAGUGAGGAAUAUUGGUCAAUGGGCGGAAGCCUGAACCAGCCAAGUCGCGUGAGGGAAUAAGGCCCUACGGGUCGUAAACCUCUUUUGCCGGGGAGCAAGGGCCGGGACGCGUCCCGGCCCGGAGAGUACCCGGAGAAAAAGCAUCGGCUAACUCCGUGCCAGCAGCCGCGGUAAUACGGAGGAUGCGAGCGUUAUCCGGAUUUACUGGGUGUAAAGGGCGUGUAGGCGGGCCUGCA
RNAcentral lists this ribosomal RNA (251 nucleotides) under uncultured bacterium. RNAcentral describes it as "partial 16S ribosomal RNA". It matches the Rfam family "Bacterial small subunit ribosomal RNA", at positions 338 to 585 of the family's 1533-position model. The record is from RNAcentral.